CUUGCUUUCUUUGCUGGCGACCGGCGCACGGGUGAGUAACACGUAUCCAACCUGCCCUUUACUCGGGGAUAGCCUUUCGAAAGAAAGAUUAAUACCCGAUAGCAUAAUGAUUCCGCAUGGUUUCAUUAUUAAAGGAUUCCGGUAAAGGAUGGGGAUGCGUUCCAUUAGGUUGUUGGUGGGGUAACGGCCCACCAAGCCUUCGAUGGAUAGGGGUUCUGAGAGGAAGGUCCCCCACAUUGGUACUGAGACACGGACCAA
This 258-nucleotide ribosomal RNA is filed under the name uncultured bacterium. RNAcentral describes it as "partial 16S ribosomal RNA". It matches the Rfam family "Bacterial small subunit ribosomal RNA", at positions 75 to 334 of the family's 1533-position model. The record is from RNAcentral.